CUCUCUCUUAUUUGUUAAUGAAUUAAGAGAAUAUUUGAAUUCGAAAAUUCAGUAUUAAAAAAAUUUAAGUUUUCUAAGCUUUUAUUUGCUUUAUUUAUUAUUUUACUUUGCAAUAUUCAUUUUCUUAAUUUAUUUGUGAUGGUAAUAACUUGUUGAUCAUUAAUUUAUUUUAAAUUUAUAAUAAUUUUAAAAAAUAAAAAAUAAAAAGUCCAAGCCCCUUUUUUUUUCAUCCCUAACGAUGAAAAUAAUUACUUUUACAUGUAGAACUUUUUUAGAUCAUACUAUUUGUAGGUUACAAUCAAAUUCGAAAACCAUAUGAAAAGUAGUGGUUGUGGAAAAAACAUGAGAGGAAUAUGAAAAAAAUUCUUCCAUAGAUAAUAUCUCAUAGAUUUCAAAUCUCGAUUUAGAAAUUCGUGAGUUUUUCUUUUCUUUUAUUUUUGAUUGUUCAUUCUAAAAUUUCUGUUAAUACAAUUUUUUUUUUUUUUUAAGAAAGUAAACCUUUCAUUAUAGGCCACAAACAACCAAUGAUCCUUCGUCACACGGACAGAAAUACAAUGAUAUAAUAGGUUCAAAUAUAAUACUUGGGAUAAACCUAAGCCCCAAGCCACGUUCUUAAGAUAAACCUACGCCUUAAACCUAUUUCACUAUAGAUUUUUCCUUUUCAACCAAAUUGGAGAGUAUUUUCACAUAUUAGAUCUCAUCAGGCAUUAGAGAAUUUUUUACAGGUCUGCCCAACGAAGAUUUUGUUGGGGAAAGAUCAUUUUUUUUUAAUUUUUAAAAAACCUUUUAAGGAUCGCUCUCAUACAAUAUAUAGGAAUUUGUAAUCUAGAAAUCGCACCUUGAAAAUUCGAGUUGGCUUUGUCCGUUGAAGUGAUUUAGGCUCCUAAAUCACGAUCUGCCACCACCACUCUUGUUAGAUCACAAUCCGUCACCACCACGCUUGUUAGAUCACAAACUGUCACCAAUGAUCUUCCAGGUUAUGACUCAGGUUCGAUCUGCACUUGACGUGUGGGCGCCUUUAUCACUACCAAAGCAACUAGCACGAGAAAAUUUUUCUCUCAACAAUAGAGAGAAAAAUCUUUUUUUCUGAUCUGUAUAAAGUGACUUCUCUAUUUUUCUUUAGAGAAAAUAAGCCUUUUAUAUCUUCCUUUAGUGAAAAUCCUAAGCUCCAAAUAAUCAAAAAACAAAACUCAAGUUACUUGCUUUUUCUAUAGGGGACCCACAUUGUAAAAUAACAUAAGGCCCCUUACACACAAGCUAAUUAAAUGGAGCCUCCCACUAAAUGAUAUAUUUAGGCUUUUGACCCAAAUAGCUAGUUAUCUUACUUAUUAGUCCAGUAGUGGUGCAGUCAAUUAAAUGAGCUAACCCGGGGAUCAUUUAAGAACAUAAAAUAGUGGCUAUAACAAUUCGGCCUGUAAUUAAACUAACCUAAUUAUUUAAUUCCAAAUCUACUCCACUAAAAGAUUGGAAUUAAACUUCAUAAUUGUAUGCUCGAAUAAUAAUUCGUCCCAAACCACAUUGAUUUCUUUACUGCACAAUCCUUUAUACCACAUCAUUAAUUAAAUCGAUAUCUUAACUACCCAAUCAAUUUAAUUAAAUUUGUUACUUGAUACUUACUGGUUUUCUCUAAUGAUCAUUUUCAACAUACUAAAUAUGUUGACACACUAUGGCCAGAGAAUUCUAUAAUCAAGUGCCGAAAACUCAUCAAGAGAUGUGUCAUACAAAUUCUAUAUUGUUAAUCCAUAACUUCAAUACUCAUAAUUGCUCACACCAAGAUAUUGUGUAAUCUUGACCAUAAGUAUGUGUCGUGCCCAUUGGUAACUCAAAUGGAAUAACAAUUACAAUAAUGAAAUCAUAACUAACUCAAGAUUAAGAUUAUAGUAAAAUCAAUGCCUAUGAGAUUUAAUAAGUCUGACAGUCAUUUCAAGGUUAAUUAAAUCUCAUAUGUGAUCAUGUUUAAUGUAGUUGUACUACGUCAAUAAAUUCAUACAUGAUUAAGACAAAUCAUUUAAUGAAUUUAUUACGGUCUAUACCUAAAUAAAGUGUCCAACUUUAUUUAUCAACUGC
RNAcentral lists this long non-coding RNA (2067 nucleotides) under Citrus x clementina. RNAcentral describes it as "Citrus clementina (C. clementina) long non-coding RNA (CCLE_LNC002389)". The record is from RNAcentral. Lineage: Eukaryota; Viridiplantae; Streptophyta; Magnoliopsida; Sapindales; Rutaceae.